UCAAGCAAGAAAGAGCACAAGGAGAAUGCCUUGGCACUAGGAGCCGAUGAAAGACGUGGUAAGCUGCGAAAAGCUUCGGGGAGGCGCAAACAGCCAUCGAUCCGGAGAUAUCUGAAUGGGGAAACCUACUUGAGCAAACCUCAAGUAUCCAUACGUGAAUCCAUAGCGUAUGGAAGGGAACGCUGUGAACUGAAACAUCUAAGUAGCAGUAGGAGGAGAAAGAAAACUCGAUUUCCUAAGUAGCGGCGAGCGAACGGGAAAGAGGCCAAACCGAAGGACCUGGUUCUUCGGGGUUGCGGACUGCAAUUAGCAUUGCUGAGAGAUAGACGAAUGGUUUUGGGAAAGCCAGCCGUAGACGGUGAAAGCCCGGUAGACGAAAUCUUGAAGCAGCGAGCAGGAUCCAGAGUACCACGAGACACGAGAAACCUUGUGGGAAGCCGGGGGGACCACCCCCCAAGCCUAAAUACUCCCUAGUGACCGAUAGUGAAGCAGUACUGUGAAGGAAAGGUGAAAAGGACCCCGGGAGGGGAGUGAAAGAGAACCUGAAACCUUGUGCUUACAAACAGUCAAAGGACGCAAGUCUGAUGGCGUACUUUUUGUAGAACGGUCCGGCGAGUUACUAAUGCCAGCGAGGUUAAGUGGUCAGAAGCCACGGAGCCGAAGGGAAACCAAGUCUGAAUAGGGCGUAGAGUUGGUAUUAGUAGACCCGAAACCGGGUGACCUAUCCAUGUCCAGGUUGAAGGAACCGUAAAAGGUUUUGGAGGACCGAACACACAUGUGUUGAAAAACGUGGUGAUGAGGUGUGGAUAGCGGAGAAAUUCCAAUCGAACUCGGAGAUAGCUGGUUCUCCUCGAAAUAGCUUUAGGGCUAGCCUCGAGCUGGAGUCUAACGGAGGUAAAGCACUGAACUGACGCGGGGCCCAAAAAGGUUACCAACUCAUAUCAAACUAAGAAUGCCGUCAAGAUACCCUCGGGAGUCAGUCUGCGUGAGAUAAGUCGCGUGGACAAAAGGGAAAGAGCCCAGACCGACAGCUAAGGUCCCAAAGUACGUGUUAAGUGGAAAAGGAUGUGGGAUUUCAUAGACAACUAGGAUGUUGGCUUAGAAGCAGCCAUACAUUUAAAGAGUGCGUAAUAGCUCACUAGUCGAGAAAACCUGCGCCGAAAAUGUAACGGGGCUAAAACACGACACCGAAGCUACGGAUUUCCUACAAGGUAGGAAGUGGUAGAGGAGCAUCCUGCAAGGACGAAGCCAAAGUGAGAGCGAUGGUGGACGAAACAGGAGAGAGAAUGCCGGAAUGAGUAGCGAGAUACAUGUGAGAAACAUGUAGGCCGAAUAUCUAAGGAUUCCUGGGUAAAGCUAAUCUUCCCAGGGUUAGUCGGGGCCUAAGGCGAGGACGAAAGUCGUAGUCGAUGGAUAACAGGUUGAUAUUCCUGUACUACACAUAAUCAGAACUGUGGGGACGCAGGAGGAUAGGGAAACCGGGGAAUGGAAAGACCCGGUCAAGCGUAAAGCUGUGGGAGAUAGGCAAAUCCGUCUCCUGUAAGUGAAACGUGAUGAGGACUGAAAAAAAGUAAGGAAGUUUCCGAAUCCACACUGCCGAGAAAAGCCGCUAUUGCGUUAUGUGUACCCGUACCGUAAACCGACACAGGUAGAUGAGGAGAAAAUCCACAGGCCGACGGGAGAAGUGUUGUUAAGGAACUCGGCAAAAUGACCCCGUAACUUCGGGAUAAGGGGAGCCUCGCAAGAGGCCGCAGAAAAGAGGCACAAGCAACUGUUUAGCAAAAACAUAGGUCUAUGCGAAACCGUAAGGUGAAGUAUAUGGGCUGACGCCUGCCCGGUGCUGGAAGGUUAAAAGGAGAGGUCAGCGCAAGCGAAGCUUUGAAUUCAAGCCCCAGUAAACGGCGGCCGUAACUAUAACGGUCCUAAGGUAGCGAAAUUCCUUGUCAGGUAAGUUCUGACCCGCACGAAAGGCGUAAUGAUUUGGGCACUGUCUCAACAGCCCGCCCGGCGAAAUUGUAGUACUGGUGAAGAUGCCAGUUACCCGCA
Molecule: ribosomal RNA, 2046 nt
Filed under: human gut metagenome
Description: bacterial LSU rRNA
Rfam family: Bacterial large subunit ribosomal RNA
Source: RNAcentral